AAUCUUUUGUCAUUUUCCAUUUAUGCUUACACAUGGUAUAAUAAUAAUAAUAAUAAAAGUAAUCAGCUGUAAUUUGGAUAUUCACUUCUGGUUUGGAUCAGUAUAUGGGAAACUGGUAAUCACAGCCUGAGCCUCUGAUUAAUCAGCUGAGGCAAGUGUCGGUCAGCUGUGGGAGCACAGGUGAGGGUAAUUCAGCUGUGCUCCUGGAAGGGGUGGAGCUUGACUCCGCCUGUUCCAAACUUCAUUUAAGGGCUGACCACCACUAAGGCAGCAUCUCUUUGAGAUUGCUCCUCUGUGGAGAUUGGAUAGCCAGCCUCAGCAUUUUCCAGCCAGACUGAAGGCAUCCAUAUUGGUGAGUUUUUCCUAUAGAUAACCUUUUGGAUAUCUAUCACCAUCCUUCUUGUAUUAUUACCAUCUUUUGUAUUAUUCCACCUUACAAUCAGCAUCCCAAUAAUUAGAUCUUUCUUCUGACUUUUUUGGAGAUGUUCAUAAGGCAAGAUGUGGGGAACAGGUGUCAGAUCUCAGAUUUCUUGGGCUAGAGUCAUAGAAGAGUGCUUUUCCUUCAGACUUGAAGAGCAGAUGAUGUUUUUUUUAUCUAUCACUCCCACUGCACAAAAUUUGGAAAGAAAAUGUAGGGGAUGUGUCUCCACAAACAAGAACCAAUGCAGAGACUGCAGACAUGCACAGAACUUGUCCACUCCAGCAUUGUCAAUACUACUGAUUACAGAGAGCAUCUCACCAAGACUCUCAUUCUGAGAAUCACCCUUGUGAAAUGCUGAAGAUGAUGGAGAAGAUGAAGCAAUGGUUAUUUGAUGUGUACUUGCACAGGUACCAGUGACAGUGUCAGACAGUAGUUCCAAAGCAACGGAGGCAGAUAUAAGGUGCCUUGACUGUAAUGGGAAAGAAUGACUCUGUGAUAUGUGCCCUAGUUCUUCUGUGCUUACCCUAAGCAUCUGUUUCUGGUCACUAUAAGAAGGGGAAUACUUCUCAGGCACAUAAAUGGAAGACUGGACAUACCAGGAUGGACUAAAAGGUCAGAGCCCAGUUUCCUAUGCUCAUCCCUCUACUGGUGAUGUUACCCUUUAACUAAGAGCCUGAGCCACUGAAACAAAUCCAUUUUGAAGACAAAAUUGCACUGUGGUCUUCUAACAACAAAAUUACAAGUGAGAAUAAUAUGAAGAAAAAUCAAAACAACUGGAGAAUGGCUGUAGUGAGAGAAUAUAAGCAGAAGUAUGCUUACAUUCAAAUUAUAUUUAUUAAUAUUUUUAGCAAAUGUAAUAAAGAGUGUCUCAGUGCCUUUAUCA
RNAcentral lists this long non-coding RNA (1304 nucleotides) under Coturnix japonica (Japanese quail). RNAcentral's name for it is "lncRNA (ENSCJPG00005007169.1)". The record is from RNAcentral. Lineage: Eukaryota; Metazoa; Chordata; Aves; Galliformes; Phasianidae.